RNAcentral lists this transfer RNA (71 nucleotides) under Bradyrhizobium yuanmingense. RNAcentral describes it as "tRNA_Lys_CTT". Lineage: Bacteria; Pseudomonadati; Pseudomonadota; Alphaproteobacteria; Hyphomicrobiales; Nitrobacteraceae. The record is from RNAcentral.
CGGCGCGCUGAAAUCGGACCAACUGACUCUUAAUCAGCGGGUCCCAGGUUCGAGCCCUGGUGCGCCCACCA